RNAcentral lists this long non-coding RNA (440 nucleotides) under Mytilus galloprovincialis (Mediterranean mussel). The record is from RNAcentral. Lineage: Eukaryota; Metazoa; Mollusca; Bivalvia; Mytilida; Mytilidae.
CAUAAUUACAAAGGUGCAUGGUAGUGCCUAAAAGUAUUGAAGGUAUGUGCAUCUUAUGAGUUUAUACAGAUUCUUAACAUGUAACGUAUUAAAGGGUACUUAUCAAAUUACAUUUAAUUGAGAAUGUAAAUGGGGAAUGUGUCAAAGAGACAAAAACCCAACCAAAUUGCACACAUCAGCUGAAGGCCACCAAUGGUUCUUUAAAGAAACUCCGCACCCGGAGGCGUGCUUCAGCUGGCCCCUAAACAAAAAUGUAUACUUGCUCAGUGAUAAGAUGUAUUACACCAAUUUGGACAGGGUUUUUUUACCUAUGUUUAUUUAUAAUCCAGACAAGUUUCUAUUUUGUGUGUAUUUUGUAGAUGUAUUCUUAGUUAUUCUUUAGUUACUUAACUUAAUUUUGAAUCCAUAUUGAAUCAUAGAAAAAUGGGUUUUAAACCACC